RNAcentral lists this ribosomal RNA (464 nucleotides) under Vreelandella stevensii. RNAcentral's name for it is "partial 16S ribosomal RNA". It matches the Rfam family "Bacterial small subunit ribosomal RNA", at positions 338 to 795 of the family's 1533-position model. Lineage: Bacteria; Pseudomonadati; Pseudomonadota; Gammaproteobacteria; Oceanospirillales; Halomonadaceae. The record is from RNAcentral.
CCUACGGGGGGCUGCAGUGGGGAAUAUUGGACAAUGGGGGAACCCUGAUCCAGCCAUGCCGCGUGUGUGAAGAAGGCCCUCGGGUUGUAAAGCACUUUCAGUGAGGAAGAACGCCUGGUGGUUAAUACCCAUCAGGAAAGACAUCACUCACAGAAGAAGCACCGGCUAACUCCGUGCCAGCAGCCGCGGUAAUACGGAGGGUGCGAGCGUUAAUCGGAAUUACUGGGCGUAAAGCGCGCGUAGGUGGCUUGAUAAGCCGGUUGUGAAAGCCCCGGGCUCAACCUGGGAACGGCAUCCGGAACUGUCAAGCUAGAGUGCAGGAGAGGAAGGUAGAAUUCCCGGUGUAGCGGUGAAAUGCGUAGAGAUCGGGAGGAAUACCAGUGGCGAAGGCGGCCUUCUGGACUGACACUGACACUGAGGUGCGAAAGCGUGGGUAGCAAACAGGAUUAGAUACCCUAGUAGUC